CUUUAUUGGAGAGUUUGAUCCUGGCUCAGGACGAACGCUGGCGGCGUGCCUAAUACAUGCAAGUCGAGCGCUAGGG
RNAcentral lists this ribosomal RNA (76 nucleotides) under Paenibacillus naphthalenovorans. Its description in RNAcentral is "16S rRNA. Bacterial SSU". It matches the Rfam family "Bacterial small subunit ribosomal RNA", at positions 1 to 74 of the family's 1533-position model. The record is from RNAcentral. Lineage: Bacteria; Bacillati; Bacillota; Bacilli; Caryophanales; Paenibacillaceae.